This is a long non-coding RNA of Malania oleifera, 548 nucleotides long. RefSeq lists it as uncharacterized. NCBI's taxonomy places the organism in Eukaryota, Viridiplantae, Streptophyta, Magnoliopsida, Santalales, Ximeniaceae. The record is from RefSeq and is a predicted model, not a curated record. The transcript has 2 exons.
GAGUGGAGACUGGAGUGCGCAAUCAGAGAGCGAGCAAGUUAGCGAAGAAGAAGAAGAAGAAGAAAAAAGAAGAAGAAGAGUUGUAGUAUGAGUAGCUCCGGCAAGACACCCACCCCCGCCGACCGGCCAGCCAAACCCCCCGCCCCCAAACCCUCAUGCGCAUCUUCCUACAGCCAUCUCCCGCCGAGGCGAGGGAAGAUUAUGGAAACCAUUGUCUCUGAUAUUUUCAAGGGCACUUCCAGUAGAUCUUCCACUACUUAAUUUUAUUUUUAUUUGUUGUUUGGGGGAAAGCAGGCGUGGGAAAACGUUCGGACGGAGGGGCGGCGCGAUCGCUUGGGCAAUCUUUGCAGUGCAGUGCAGUGCAGUGCAGAGCCUCAGAGAAUAUGCAGUGUAUGCUGAAUUCCAGAUUAUGAUGUGUAACACGUGUAUUAGACUACUUGCGUUUGUUAUUGGGUUACUUACUAGCCAAGUAAUAAUGAUAAUAUUGUUCAUACUUCUAUUUUACUUGAUUGUAGAGGAAUAAAUUGGGGAACCUUCAAAUUUGGCAA